Molecule: ribosomal RNA, 468 nt
Filed under: uncultured bacterium
Lineage: Bacteria
Description: partial 16S ribosomal RNA
Rfam family: Bacterial small subunit ribosomal RNA
Source: RNAcentral
GAUGAACGCUGGCGGCGUGCUUAACACAUGCCAGUCGAGCGGACAGGCCCUGCUUUUGCUGGGUGCUCGAGUGGCGAACGGGUGAGUAAAACGUGAGUAACCUGUCCCUGUAUUUGGGAUAAAUCCAGGAAACAGGGGCUAUUAUCGGAUAGGAGCUCCUGAUGCGUGGUGGGGGUUGGAAAGUUUCGGCGGUUGGGGCUAGUCGCGAGGCUUAUCCGCUUGUUGGGGGAGUAGUGGCUUACCAAGGCUUUGACGGGUAGCCCGCCUGGGAGGGUGACCGGCCACAAGGGGACUGAGAUACGGCCCAGACGGCUACGGGAGGCAGCAGUGGGGAAUAUUGCGCAGUAGGGUGGAGCCUGAUGCAGCAACGCCGGGAUCGUAAUGAUCGCCUUCGAGUGGUAAACCGCUUUCUCCUGUGACAAAGCCUUAGUGACGGUAACUGGUAAAAAAGCACCGGCUAACUACGUG